RNAcentral lists this ribosomal RNA (253 nucleotides) under uncultured bacterium. RNAcentral's name for it is "partial 16S ribosomal RNA". It matches the Rfam family "Bacterial small subunit ribosomal RNA", at positions 524 to 776 of the family's 1533-position model. The record is from RNAcentral.
UACGAAGGGGGCUAGCGUUGUUCGGAAUUACUGGGCGUAAAGCGCACGUAGGCGGUGUUCCAUGUCAGAGGUGAAAGCCUGGGGCUCAACUCCAGAAUUGCCUUUGAAACGGGGACGCUUGAGUCCGAGAGAGGAUGGCGGAAUUCCUAGUGUAGAGGUGAAAUUCGUAGAUAUUCGCAAGAACACCAGUGGCGAAGGCGGCUCACUGGCCCGAUACUGACGCUGAGGUGCGAAAGCGUGGGGAGCAAACAGG